GCGGACAAAAGAUUACGGAAGUCGGGGAGUGCGCCACACUUCCAGCCCGGGUUCGAGUCCCGGUGUCCGCACCA
RNAcentral lists this transfer RNA (74 nucleotides) under Bradyrhizobium sp. BR13661. RNAcentral's name for it is "tRNA-Gly". It matches the Rfam family "tRNA". Rfam says of the family: Transfer RNA (tRNA) molecules are approximately 80 nucleotides in length. Their secondary structure includes four short double-helical elements and three loops (D, anti-codon, and T loops). Lineage: Bacteria; Pseudomonadati; Pseudomonadota; Alphaproteobacteria; Hyphomicrobiales; Nitrobacteraceae. The record is from RNAcentral.